This 253-nucleotide ribosomal RNA is filed under the name uncultured bacterium. RNAcentral's name for it is "partial 16S ribosomal RNA". It matches the Rfam family "Bacterial small subunit ribosomal RNA", at positions 524 to 776 of the family's 1533-position model. The record is from RNAcentral.
UACGGGGGGGGCAAGCGUUGUUCGGAAUUACUGGGCGUAAAGGGCUCGUAGGUGGCCAACUAAGUCAGACGUGAAAUCCCUCGGCUUAACCGGGGAACUGCGUCUGAUACUGGAUGGCUUGAGUUCGGGAGAGGGAUGCGGAAUUCCAGGUGUAGCGGUGAAAUGCGUAGAUAUCUGGAGGAACACCGGUGGCGAAGGCGGCAUCCUGGACCGACACUGACACUGAGACGCGAAAGCGAGGGGAGCGAACAGG